RNAcentral lists this ribosomal RNA (480 nucleotides) under uncultured bacterium. RNAcentral describes it as "partial 16S ribosomal RNA". It matches the Rfam family "Bacterial small subunit ribosomal RNA", at positions 28 to 507 of the family's 1533-position model. The record is from RNAcentral.
GACGAACGCUGGCGGCGCGCUUAACACAUGCAAGUCGAGCGAUGAAACUUUAACAGAACCCUUCGGGGCGAAGAUAAAGUGGAUUAGCGGCGGACGGGUAAGUAACCCGUAAGUAACCUGCCUUAGACAUUGGUAUAGCCUCGGGAAACCGGGAUUAAUACCAAAUAAAAUCAUAAUGACACAUUUAAUAACGAUCAAAACUCCGGUGGUCUAAGAUGGACUCGCGUCCCAUUAGCUAGGUGGUAGAGUAAAAGCCUACCAAGGCGACGAUGGGUAGCCGGCCUGAGAGAGUGAAAGGCCACAUUGGAAAUGCGACCCGGUCCCAACUCCUACGGGAGGCAGCAGUGGGGAAUAUUGCACAAUGGAGCGAACUCUGAUGCAGCGACGCCGCGUGAACGAAGAAGGGUUUCGAGUAGUAAAGUUCUUUUAUAUGGGAAGAUAAUGACGGUAACAGAAGAAAAAGCCCCGGCUAACUACGUG